GGCUUAACACAUGCAAGUCGAGCGGGCGAGGGUGCUUGCACCUUAGCUUAGCGGCGGACGGGUGAGUAAUGCUUAGGAAUCUGCCUAUUAGUGGGGGACAACAUUCCGAAAGGGAUGCUAAUACCGCAUACGCCCUACGGGGGAAAGCAGGGGAUCUUCGGACCUUGCGCUAAUAGAUGAGCCUAAGUCGGAUUAGCUAGUUGGUGGGGUAAGGGCCUACCAAGGCGACGAUCUGUAGCGGGUCUGAGAGGAUGAUCCGCCACACUGGGACUGAGACACGGCCCAGACUCCUACGGGAGGCAGCAGUGGGGAAUAUUGGACAAUGGGGGGAACCCUGAUCCAGCCAUGCCGCGUGUGUGAAGAAGGCCUUUUGGUUGUAAAGCACUUUAAGCGAGGAGGAGGCGCUCUAGGAUAAUACCCUAGAUGCGUGGACGUUACUCGCAGAAUAAGCACCGGCUAACUCUGUGCCAGCAGCCGCGGUAAUACAGAGGGUGCGAGCGUUAAUCGGAUUUACUGGGCGUAAAGCGCGCGUAGGUGGCUAAUUAAGUCAAAUGUGAAAUCCCCGAGCUUAACUUGGGAAUUGCAUUCGAUACUGGUUAGCUAGAGUAUGGGAGAGGAUGGUAGAAUUCCAGGUGUAGCGGUGAAAUGCGUAGAGAUCUGGAGGAAUACCGAUGGCGAAGGCAGCCAUCUGGCCUAAUACUGACACUGAGGUGCGAAAGCAUGGGGAGCAAACAGGAUUAGAUACCCUGGUAGUCCAUGCCGUAAACGAUGUCUACUAGCCGUUGGGGCCUUUGAGGCUU
Molecule: ribosomal RNA, 800 nt
Filed under: uncultured bacterium
Lineage: Bacteria
Description: bacterial SSU rRNA
Rfam family: Bacterial small subunit ribosomal RNA
Source: RNAcentral